This 404-nucleotide ribosomal RNA is filed under the name uncultured bacterium. RNAcentral's name for it is "bacterial SSU rRNA". It matches the Rfam family "Bacterial small subunit ribosomal RNA", at positions 355 to 776 of the family's 1533-position model. The record is from RNAcentral.
UGGGGAAUAUUGGACAAUGGGCGCAAGCCUGAUCCAGCCAUGCCGCGUGAGUGAUGAAGGCCCUAGGGUUGUAAAGCUCUUUCGCACGCGACGAUAAUGACGGUAGCGUGAGAAGAAGCCCCGGCUAACUUCGUGCCAGCAGCCGCGGUAAUACGAAGGGGGCUAGCGUUGUUCGGAAUCACUGGGCGUAAAGGGCGCGUAGGCGGCCUUGUAAGUCGGGGGUGAAAGCCUGUGGCUCAACCACAGAAUUGCCUUCGAUACUGCGAGGCUUGAGACCGGAAGAGGUAAGUGGAACUGCGAGUGUAGAGGUGAAAUUCGUAGAUAUUCGCAAGAACACCAGUGGCGAAGGCGGCUUACUGGUCCGGUUCUGACGCUGAGGCGCGAAAGCGUGGGGAGCAAACAGG